Molecule: ribosomal RNA, 456 nt
Filed under: uncultured bacterium
Lineage: Bacteria
Description: bacterial SSU rRNA
Rfam family: Bacterial small subunit ribosomal RNA
Source: RNAcentral
GGCGCACCAGUCGCGAAUCAUUCACAAUGGGCGAAAGCCUGAUGGUGUGACGCCGCGUGGAGGAUGAAGGUCUUCGGAUUGUAAACUCCUGUCAAGUGAGAGUAAAGCCGGGCGUUAACUGCGAGCCGGUUUGAGAGUAUCACUAGAGGAAGAGACGGCUAACUCUGUGCCAGCAGCCGCGGUAAUACAGAGGUCAAGCGUUGUUCGGAAUCACUGGGCGUAAAGGGUGCGUAGGCUGCACGGUAAGUCAGAUGUGAAAGCCCGGAGCUCAACUUCGGAAUUGCAUCCGAUACUGCCGUGCUUGAGGACUGGAGAGGAGAUUGGAAUUCACAGUGGAGCAGCGAAAUGCGUAGAUAUUGUGAGGAGCACUAGUGGCGAAGGCGAAUCUCUGGACAGUUCCUGACGCUGAGGCACGAAGGCCAGGGGAGCAAACGGGAUUAGAUACCCGCGUAGUCC